GACGAACGCUGGCGGCGUGCCUAAUACAUGCAAGUCGAACGAACCGCGACUAAGUGCUUGCACUAAGUCAAGGUGAGUGGCGAACGGGUGAGUAACACGUGGGUAACCUACCUCAUAGUGGGGGAUAACAGUCGGAAACGACUGCUAAUACCGCAUAGGACAUGGGAUCACAUGAUCCAGUGAGGAAAGGUGGCGCAAGCUAUCGCUAAGAGAUGGACCCGCGGUGCAUUAGCUAGUUGGUAGGGUAAAGGCCUACCAAGGCGAUGAUGCAUAGCCGACCUGAGAGGGUGAUCGGCCACAUUGGGACUGAGACACGGCCCAAACUCCUACGGGAGGCAGCAGUAGGGAAUCUUCCGCAAUGGACGCAAGUCUGACGGAGCAACGCCGCGUGAGUGAAGAAGGUCUUCGGAUCGUAAAGCUCUGUUGUUAGAGAAGAACAGCGCGUAGAGUAACUGUUAUGCGUGUGACGGUAUCUAACCAGAAAGCCACGG
This 491-nucleotide ribosomal RNA is filed under the name Abiotrophia defectiva. RNAcentral describes it as "bacterial SSU rRNA". It matches the Rfam family "Bacterial small subunit ribosomal RNA", at positions 28 to 496 of the family's 1533-position model. The record is from RNAcentral. Lineage: Bacteria; Bacillati; Bacillota; Bacilli; Lactobacillales; Aerococcaceae.